CCUACGGUCGGCAGCAGUGAGGAAUAUUGGUCAAUGGGCGCGAGUCUGAACCAGCCAAGUAGCGUGAAGGAUGACUGCCCUAUGGGUUGUAAACUUCUUUUAUAAAGGAAUAAAGCGAGGCACGUGUGCCUUUUUGCAUGUACUUUAUGAAUAAGGAUCGGCUAACUCCGUGCCAGCAGCCGCGGUAAUACGGAGGAUCCGAGCGUUAUCCGGAUUUAUUGGGUUUAAAGGGAGCGUAGAUGGGUUGUUAAGUCAGUUGUGAAAGUUUGCGGCUCAACCGUAAAAUUGCAAUUGAUACUGGCAGUCUUGAGUACAGUUGAGGUAGGCGGAAUUCGUGGUGUAGCGGUGAAAUGCUUAGAUAUCACGAAGAACCCCGAUUGCGAAGGCAGCUUACUAAACUGCGACUGACAUUGAUGCUCGAAAGUGUGGGUAUCAAACAGGAUUAGAUACCCGAGUAGUC
This 460-nucleotide ribosomal RNA is filed under the name uncultured bacterium. RNAcentral's name for it is "partial 16S ribosomal RNA". It matches the Rfam family "Bacterial small subunit ribosomal RNA", at positions 338 to 795 of the family's 1533-position model. The record is from RNAcentral.